AGCAGUCUGGAGCACAAAGAAUCCCUAAUCACUGACAUUAAGAAAGAAGAAAAAUAUUCCUAGGACGAUCCUGGAGAGCAAAGGUCAUCAGCAGUCACUUGACUUUCCUUGGAUUUCUCAACUGCAGUAGUCACAUGGUCUGCUGAAAAUGAAUUCUCUUUAUUUUCAUCUGAUUUCAAGGAAUUAUGGUUUUCAGUGAUUUCUUCAUUUGGAUCUAUUUUGAGACAGAGUAAUAGCAUUAAAACCCCCUUCUGAAUUAAUAAGGUAACAUGGGCUUAAAAUCACUCAAUUCACUAUUGGAUUCUUUGGAGCUGUUAAUCUGUUCAGUGAAAAGAACAAGAACUUUGGAACUCAAGAUUUAACUAUGGUUCCAUCACUGACCUUGGGCAUUUGUUGCUGAAACGCAAAGUGUGACAAGCCAAUGGAGAGACAGGAUCUCACUUUUUUUGCCCACUACUGGGCUCAAGCGAUCCUCCUGCCUCCAUCUCCCCAAGUGCUGGGAUUACAGCCAUGAGCCACCAUGCCCGGCCCCAGCUCGCAACUUUCUGUGUGACCUCAGAUAGGAGGUUCUUCAACUGACAGCUACACAUCCACCCCUGCUACUUUCUUCAUUGCCUCCACAGUUUCUAUAAGGAAAAGGCAAAAUCUUCAUACCUGCAGAAUUAGCGCCACAUAGAUGCUGCCAAAGGGUUUUCUGCCUGUGCCCUCUGGAGAGGUGACAUCACAUCCCCCAC
Molecule: long non-coding RNA, 734 nt
Filed under: Homo sapiens (human)
Lineage: Eukaryota; Metazoa; Chordata; Mammalia; Primates; Hominidae
Description: MAP9 antisense RNA 1
Source: RNAcentral